AAUACCCUUGAAUUUUUUAUAGGAUUUAGAGUUGUAAUAACUUUGAAGUAGGUUGAUAAUGCCAUGUAGACAGAAUGUAAACCUCUUCCUUCUGCUGCUGGCUGACUCAGCAGCUUGUCACUCAGUGCUGGUUUCUUACACCUCUCUUUUCCUUUUCACUGUGUUGUCAACCUGUGUGCUCACCUGAAAACUGCAUUAGCUGGCAGGGAAAUGUCAGAAGAGAACACUGAAAAGUCUGUGGUCCAAAUGGGGAAGGGACAUUUUAUGACCUCAAUUCUAAAGGCACUGAAGCCAAAGGACAGUAAAAAAUGUAGCAGAUACAAUGUUCAAAUCCCCCUUGCACUCAUUCCCCUGUUCACUGAUGGUUGCAUCUAAAUGUUCCUGCCAAAACUAGUUGUCAUGAGGUUUACUUUUCACUUGUUUUAGUUGUCAAUAUAAGACUUUUGAAAAGAGUGAAAUUGAAAUGAUGACUUUAAAGGGCUUUCUCUGGGGGCAAAAAGUUGCUUGGGUUAAUAAUUAUGUGUAUGUUAAUUGUACCUUCAGCCUCCAUGCAGAAGCUGCCUUUGCCAGGGAAGAAUUCGGAAUUAACAUCCUGCAGAGUGUUAAUCCAAGCAGACCAGACAGACAGAGAAAUGAUUAUCCCUUACUUAUCAAUGGAGAUUUGAGGGAUUAAACCUUGGUUCCAGAGACCCAGGAUGGACAUGCCCUCUGAGGACCUCAUGUCAGAUUCCUGAAGGAUGGAUGCCUAAGCAGACCACAUCAAACCCUCCUGAAAAGAAAACUAUUUCUCUUGGGCUGGCAUUAUCACUAGAGGGACACAGGAAUGAAAGAGAGAAGCAAAGCCCAAUGACAUUGUAGGUGGCUGAACCCUAAAGAACUCUACAGGAUCAAACUGUGAACCCUAAAUAUAUCUACAGGAUCAAACUGCCUCUUCAUCAAGUCAUUUUCACAGAAUGGAGCCACUCUAGGUCUUCUUAUUCAAUAUUGCAGGUAGAGACAGGUCAGAUUAAAUCCAGUUAACACUGCAAUCUGAACAUCUCCAGAGGUGUGAGAGGAGGUUUGGCCACCAAUUUUUCUUCAGAUCCUUUGGCAUCAUUCAUUACCAGAGAAGUCACAUGAAAUAGGGUGAACUGUACAUAAACCAAAGCCGUUUCCUACCUAACAUUUUUAUCUCACUCUGUCUUUGAGGUGGGAUAGAGAUUAGACUUAAGGCUGAAUAUAGACCUGAAACAUUGUCUGCUUCUUCACCAGAACCAUUUGCUCUAGAACUGUAUCAGUAAAUGCAGGAGGUGUUUGCUUAAAUCUUGGUAUAUACUUGGUGGCUCAGCUUUCACUUACUGUUUUCAGUAAGUACAGGUAUUUUUACACAUACCAACUUUGAUACAAUACACCCUUGCUAUAAUUCUGAAAAUCUUUGUGAUGCUGUUUUUAUGUCUGUUUGCCUGAACAUCUGGUCUGCUAUAACUGGUGACAAUGUUCUACUUGAUUUUUAAAGGUUUUUAUUGAUUUAAUCUACAAAUUUAUGGGUAUCCUAUAUUCAGUAGUAACGUUUAGUAGACUUUCUACUUUUACAACUGGUUCACACUCUGUGAAAUGUUAUUAUCUUGAACUCUGCCUGUACUGGCCAAGACCCAGUGGCAUAUUCUGCAGAGAAUAGAGUAAUUGAUAUGUUGACUAUUCAGUUUUUUAUUUAUUUGUCCAAUAACACUCCUCUAUCCCUCUGGUCACCAUGAAAUUCUGCAGAACCCAUUGCUUUUCAGAUCUUGGUUUCUUAGGUGGAAUUUAAAUAAAGCUUGAUGGAAAUGCAGAGAGGAGAGAAGCCUGGCCCCAGCUGUAUGAUUCAGGAAGCCUGGACUCCAUGGCGUUAUUCCCCAAACUCAGAGUCAAGAGAAGCAAGGUUUUGAAAAGAUGUGUGUGGUUAGUAACACAACAGUUUCAACAGUGUAUUUCUACAUGUUGUAAACUGGAAAUGACCCUGUGCUGAGAACAGCUCAGAGUGUAAAAUUCAGUUUAAGAAUACUAUUCUGCCAUGGUCAUGAAUUUAAAUCAUACAUGUUGCACUGUCUUUUUAUACUAAAGAUAAUUUUUUUGACAGAGCAUGGGUUUGAAGCUGAAGAAAGGUACAAGGAGCACAACACAAAUAAGAUCCUUUCUUUUAAGUCUGUGUGAAGAAGAACCAAAGGUUUUAUUAGCUUAAUGUAACUCAAGGCUCAGUGAAAGCAGAUAAGCUGUAUUCCUCUGAAAUAAGCAUGGCAAAAAUUGACCCACCAGCAAUCACAUGGAGAUCACAUUUCAUUAAUUCUGCUUUUCACUAGGCAACCAGAACAUGAAUGCAAAACUUUGAGUCUUUACUUCAAACAUUUACUAGAAAGAUAAGACUCUUAAGUGAAGUGUUAUAAUAAAAACCCUUAUGAGAGGCAAUCAGAAGAAAGGUUAAAAAUCUAGUUUCAAGUUUUUUUAAUUUCAUGCUAACCAGAUAAUUAUUUGCAUUUCAGUUCCAUCAAGCCAUACACACUGUUUUGCCUUUGGUAAGCCAUUGUUUUACCUGGGUAUGUUUUUAUUGAUUCCUUCAACCUGGAGAUUCCCUUUGCUGGAUUUCUGCAGUAAUUGACAGUCAAGUCUGAUGACAAACUAUUGGUCUGUGAGAGCUAUUAAUAAAUAAAUGUCAACUGUUUGUGAAGUCAGCAGAGAGCUUUCUGAUCUCUCUCUCACUCUUUGAACACAAUGACAUUGCUUCAGUUUUACAGCAGUCCCUCUGCACCCUGGGAUCUGUCCCAAGAAAUUUACU
This is a non-coding RNA of Zonotrichia albicollis (white-throated sparrow), 2788 nucleotides long. The record is from RefSeq and is a predicted model, not a curated record. Lineage: Eukaryota; Metazoa; Chordata; Aves; Passeriformes; Passerellidae.